GCAGGUUCACCGAGUUCACCCUCGGGUUCACCCUCACCGAGAGGGUGAGCGGGGCAGCGACGGGGCAGCUGCGUCGGCCAGGGCCUAGCAUUGGGCCACGGGAGACAGAGCUGCCGCCAGCACCUCAUCCACAGCUCCGCUUCCUACCGGUCCCUCCAACAGCUCCCUCCGUGGCCAGACACUGCGCUGGCCCCCAGGGACACAGGCAAACAGGAUGACUGGCCCUGCCUUCACGGUUCCCCCGUUCUUGGGGGGGACAGGCCUCUGAUGGGAAUGGCACCAACGCAUCAGCGCAGUGACGGUGACGGUAACAGCCACAAAAGAGUGAAUUGAAGCGCAGCCUGAGAGUGAGGCAGCCAGCCUUUCGUGCAGAGGGGAGGGCCUUUGGUCUCCCGCUCGGGCGGGGCGUCUGUCGGGAAGAGCAUCUCCCGCUGAGAAGGGGACUGGCUGGACCCAGGAGGCGUGUGUGAGAUUGUUAUUGCUGUCCCACGGCGGUUGCAGAAGUCUUGUUGGUCGUGUUCCACCCUCUGGGCGGUGUUUGGUUCCGUCCAGAUCCACCGUAUCCUGGACGAUGAGAGGCGGGGCCACAUGCUGCCACCUCUUCUGGUUCUCUCCACUCCACGAGGCAGCUUACAGUUCUGUGCCACGUGCUCCACUGCAGCGUCUCUGCAGCCGGGGGACUCCCGGCAGCUCACGCCGGUGUCCCCUGCGGAGGGCUUUCUGCUGGAGUUCGCUGUCCAGGCGCCCACAGGCCGGCCUGCACCUGCGCCCCACCCCCGCCUGGCCGGCGUCCUGUUUGCGUUUGACUGCAGUACCUGUGCGGGGCGGGAGAGUGUGUUUUGACUACCACAGUUCUGAGGCCUUUGUAAGGCCGGAGCUGGGUUACUCACCGUCAGGUUGGGACUUAGAUGACUUCCAUGUUCCUCUCUCCUGCUGCAAUCAACUCGGCCGAGAGCCCAGUGAGAGGAGAGGGGCCGGGCGGUGGGGGGGGCACUGUGCUCCCGUCUCCACGUUCAAGUGAAGGCAGUUCCCAGCGAGGAUCCCACCGCUGACGACGGUCGAGAGCUCGGAGGACUGCGGGCCAGGCAGCUGGGGGCGUCGUGGGAGCCCACGUGGCGCGGGGCAGCGCAGACCUGGGGGACCAUGGGCAUUGGAGCUAGGCCAGGGUGCUCAGACUUGCCUCCAGUUCUCAGACUUCCUGUUCUGAUGAAAAACUUAACAUUUUUGCCUUUAAAUAUAAAAGUACUCUACAUAGAGUUGAAAAUUCAAGCCAUGGAAAAGGUACAAGGUGAAAGUAAAAUCCCUUCCCUCAUCCAUCCUAGCCUUGCUACACAGAGGUGGCCUCUCCCGUUCCUUUGAGUCUCUAUGGGAAUUUCUGUGCACGUACAAAACUUGGCACUGUCGUAGCGCAGGCAGGACCGUAACUGGUGGUUCAGUUUGCGCAUCCGACCUCACGAGCCCCUGCGAUCGCGACGUGCACCCAGCACAAGGGGCACUGCGUGAGGCUGAGGGGACGCGUGUCCCCCGGCCGCACCUUCAACAGGGCGUCAGGGUAGGAGGAUGCGAGCCUGGGAGGGGGGAGGCGCGGAGCCGCCGCAGGUGUUUCUUUUACUGGACGCGGCUCAUGGCCGCGUUCAGGUUUUGCUUUUCACCUUUGAAUCUGUGAGAAGAUAAG
This is a long non-coding RNA of Phyllostomus hastatus (greater spear-nosed bat), 1675 nucleotides long. RefSeq lists it as uncharacterized. The transcript is spliced from 4 exons. NCBI's taxonomy places the organism in Eukaryota, Metazoa, Chordata, Mammalia, Chiroptera, Phyllostomidae. The record is from RefSeq and is a predicted model, not a curated record.